AAUAUUGGACAAUGGGGGCAACCCUGAUCCAGCCAUGCCGCGUGUGUGAAGAAGGUCUUCGGCUUGUAAAGCACUUUAAGUUGGGAGGAAGGGCUUUAGGUUAAUACCCUGAAGUUUUGACGUUACCAACAGAAUAAGCACCGUCUAACUCUGUGCCAGCAGCCGCGGUAAUACAGAGGGUGCAAUUGUUAAUCUGAAUUACUGGGCGUACAGCGCGCGUAGGUUGUUCAGUAAGAUGGGUGUUAAACCCCCGGGCUUAACCUGGGAACUGCUUUUAUAGCUGCUGAGCUAGAGUACGGUAGAGGGUAGUGGAAUUUCCUGUGUAGCGGUGAAAUGCGUAGAUAUAGGAAGGAACACCAGUGGCGAAGGCGACUACCUGGACUGAUACUGACACUGAGGUGCGAAAGCGUGGGGAGCAAAC
Molecule: ribosomal RNA, 421 nt
Filed under: uncultured bacterium
Lineage: Bacteria
Description: partial 16S ribosomal RNA
Rfam family: Bacterial small subunit ribosomal RNA
Source: RNAcentral